This 2937-nucleotide long non-coding RNA is filed under the name Carica papaya (papaya). Its description in RNAcentral is "long non-coding RNA (CPAP_LNC015222)". Lineage: Eukaryota; Viridiplantae; Streptophyta; Magnoliopsida; Brassicales; Caricaceae. The record is from RNAcentral.
AUCCACUUACUGUACUGGAAAUACUUUGAAAAUACUUUAAAAACUACAUAGUCUAUGCAAUCACAAUACCCACUUACUAUGCUGAAAAUACUUUUAAAACAUUUCAAAAACUAUGUAUGCCAUGAAAUCACAACACCCACUUACCUUGAGUCUGAUGCAAUUAAUUUAAGCUUUCUAUAUUAUGACAGAGUCUCCCCUUAUAUUUUUUUUUCAGUUUUCUCUGGUCACUCCGUCAGAGUCUUCCUUUAAAAAUACUUCAAUUUUCUCUUUUCACUCAAGCAAAGUCUCCCAUUAUACUUUCAUCAAUUUUCUACCAAAAUUUUGGUAGCAUCUUUCUUUAAAAUUAUCGUUGUUUUACACUAAAAAAUAUCCUCAUGAUAGGUAAAUUUCUCUCUUUGAAAAGAAACUUGAAACUACAUACCUUACAGGACAUGCUGCUUUAACCUUCGGUAAAGUCUCGACCUAAUUUCUAAGCUUUUUCUCUCAAAACUCUGAUAGCAUUCUAGGGUGUUUUUAAGCAAUAUCGAACCUCAAAAGUGCUAUUCAUGUCACUUAAAAAUCAUCCUCAAAGUUUCAAAAGAAAUGGAAUUAAAAUGAGAGAGAAAAAUCACCUUAAGCCCGUAGAUUCUCCCUUGGUUAGUUGUGAGCUUUUGCUCUCUUUUUCUUUUCUUUCUUUCUUUGUUUUUCUUCUUUUCUUCUUCCCUCCUCUCUCUUUCUCUCACAAUUGGGUAGAGUUUUUUCUAGGAAAAACUCCCAAAUUCCAUCAAUUUCUCUCACUUUUAUUGGGUUCAUUCCCUUUUUUUCUCUUUUUUUCCUCUUAUCUUACUCUCUCUUUUUUCUCUCUCUAACCUUGCUUUCUCUCAACUCUAGAAUGCUUUUUGCCUUCUUCCCACACCCCUUUUUAUAAGGGAGCGAUAUCCAUGCAAGUUGAUACGCAUGGGAGAGGUGGCAAAACGUGAUUGACUACUUAAAUGUCCUCAAGCUUUAUCCUUAUUCUUAUCUCUUACUUUCCUUAGCCUUUAAGUAAUUUUAGAGUAUUCUAAUCUUAUCCAGACCCCUCCAACGUCUUAUCCACUGUCUAGGAGCUUUCAUACCAGAUUUGGCCUCCAUUCUAUAUGUUUUGUGUCACCUUAGGCCCAUAUAAACCCAUAAGGCCCAAAACUGCACUCUAUGCACAUGCCUUUACUUCAAACAUAUAACUCCAUCAAUUCUUAUGUGUUUCCAGCUCAUUUUACCUUCACUUGCUCAUUGUAGUUUUUGCUAUUUAACAACCAAAUGUGGGCUCCAAACAACAACAUUUGGCCCAUCUGAGGUCUACCUAAGUCCUAAAAGGUCUAAACCACACUUAAAGUUAAGCCCAAGCUCAAACCCUUAGUUCAAAACUCUUUAACUUGUUUAAUUCUUAAUCGUUUUGGACAUGCAUGUGCUUCACGUGUUCCCCAAGCAGGCAGCUAUCACAUAGUUUUAGUUUGGGCUUCAUCUGGGUCCAUUUCACCCACUUAUGGCCCAAAAAAUCUCAAAAGGUCAAAAUUAUCCUUUAUGUGCAUGUCUCUCGUGUUUGGCCUCAUUUCUCCCAAUGUUUCUCCUAUAGAAAUUUUUAUUUUCCUAAACAUUUCUUCCUUAAUAUUUUGGCUAGUCAUUAGCUGUAUUUGAGUCUCAAGUUCUAAGUGUUUAGUCUCGGGACACAAAUCAACCCCAAAGGGACAAUUAGAGCUUCUCUUGGGAUUUCCCCCUCACAUGGGGGAUUUCUCUCUUGAUUGUUAAUCCAAUUACUCUCUCAUAUCUCCAAAGCAUCUUCUUAGCUUUUACAAUAUUUUUCUAGUCUCGAGAAGUGUUCUUAGGACUAGAGAACUUAGUUUCUUCCUAUUGAGGCAAAAAUUCUUCUCAAGGGAUUCUUGUUACCCCAGUCUCAUAAAUUUCACUCAAUUUGACUCGAAACUUAGUCCUUAACCUUAUCGCAUCUUCUUUCAUAUACAUACACACUUAAUCAAUCAUAUCAAACACAAGAUUUCAAAUUGGAAAAAUUCGGGCCAUUACAUCCUACCCCCCCUUAAAGGGGAUUUGGUCCUCCAAAUUCAACUUACCAAGAGUCUCUAAUUUUGAUUUACCAUGAGGGUCUUUGUCCUUCAUAUCCUAUGGUUAUGGUAGCGAAUACAUCAGAUCCUCCAAUUACCUCAAGUAAUUCAUUUAUCUCCAUAAUAAAAUUAGGACUUUUUAUUGUAUUUGUUGCUUCAUUUCUAAGAAAUAUAUGUACCCCACUAUUGGAUAUUUCUUUUCUACCUCCCGAACAAGGUGCAUUCAUUAGGAACUUGUCUUUAAAUCUCAUUAAAUUAUUUCACCUUACAGAACUUCUCAUAAGGGUCUAUACUAUUAUUCUCAAAUGGAGCAUGGUCUGGAUGGUCUCUAAAUAAUAACUUGAUAAUUGAUCAAAUGCUCAUAGAGUCUUUAACCUUUAUAUAAUCAAUAAUGGAACUCCUCAUAAUGAUGUAGUAGACUUUAUGGCGCUUAAUUGCUUUCACGUGGCCUCAACAUCAUAUUUAUGUUUGCAUUCUUCUAAAUCAAGAUCUUUUCUCCUCACUCAUUGACUUGGUACCGAAGCAACUUAUUCUUCUUAGUUAAAUCAAUAAGGAUCCUUAACUUAUCAAGGUCUAUAAUCCUCGUCCAAUUUUGUUAAGUUUUCCUCAUGUCUCCUUGAUUUCUUCCGAAACCUCUUUCUCAAGCUUAUAGUUUUUUAAGGCUUACACAUACUUUUAAAGUGGGUCAUCCUUUUUUGACUUCCAAAAAUAAAGAUGGAUUUAUUGAGAAUUUAUCUAUGCUUGGUAUCAUAGUGUACUGUUAUCUUCAAGUUUAUCCAGUAGGGGUGACUCCCAAAAUCUCAAUCAUUAAUCGGGUUCUUUUAAGGUCUUUAUGUAUGGAAUUCCUCCUUAUAGCUACUUA